AUCCAGCUAACGAGUCCCAAAUAGGACGAAACGCUCGUCAAACUGGAU
Molecule: non-coding RNA, 48 nt
Filed under: Schistosoma mansoni
Lineage: Eukaryota; Metazoa; Platyhelminthes; Trematoda; Strigeidida; Schistosomatidae
Source: RNAcentral